RNAcentral lists this ribosomal RNA (200 nucleotides) under uncultured bacterium. RNAcentral's name for it is "partial 16S ribosomal RNA". It matches the Rfam family "Bacterial small subunit ribosomal RNA", at positions 28 to 225 of the family's 1533-position model. The record is from RNAcentral.
GAUGAACGCUAGCGGCAGGCUUAAUACAUGCAAGUCGAACGGUAAGUGUAGUAGCAAUACUAUACGAGAGUGACGUACGGGUGCGUAACACGUAUGCAACCUACCUUGUACAGGAGGAUAGCUCGGGGAAACUCGAAUUAACCCUCCAUAAGAUAGUGGUGAGGCAUCUCACAGCUAUUAAAAACUCAGGUGGUACAAGA